Molecule: ribosomal RNA, 301 nt
Filed under: uncultured bacterium
Lineage: Bacteria
Description: partial 16S ribosomal RNA
Rfam family: Bacterial small subunit ribosomal RNA
Source: RNAcentral
CAGUCGCCACGGUAAUACAGAGGGUGCAAGCGUUAAUCGGAAUUACUGGGCGUAAAGCGCGCGUAGGUGGUUUGUUAAGUUGGAUGUGAAAUCCCCGGGCUCAACCUGGGAACUGCAUACAAAACUGGCAAGCUAGAGUAUGGUAGAGGGUGGUGGAAUUUCCUGUGUAGCGGUGAAAUGCGUAGAUAUAGGAAGGAACACCAGUGGCGAAGGCGACCACCUGGACUGAUACUGACACUGAGGUGCGAAAGCGUGGGGAGCAAACAGGAUUAGAGACCCCAGUAGUCCCUGUCUCUUAUAC